GUAAAGAGAACUAGUCUUAAAACCUACAUCUAGUUUAUUGCUGUGGCAGGGAGAGACAUAGACUACAGGUUAUGUGAACAAUACUGUACCUUAUUUUUCACCUGUACCAGAUGCUCAUCCUAAAUGGCAAGAAAGAGAGAAACCAGGCAGGGAGGGGAACCUAGGAGCAUUAUAGACAGAUCGCCUGCAAUAAACAAAUUUUCUUUCCACCAAAUUCCAGGCAUGGAACAAAACAUUUCUGGAUGAAUACAAAAUUACAGUGCCUGUCUUCAGAAUUUAUCAUCUUUUAUCAGUAAGAAAAAAAAAAAAAACUAGUUAGAUACCAAGAAAAGACAUCUAUUGUCAACAUUGCAAACAAAAGUGUCAUCAUAGAAGCAGAAAGACUUUGUUAACAUUGUUUUCCAGGGCAUCACUGCCAGGAAAGCCCAAAAGAGUUUCAAGUCCUCUUCUACAUUUCCAUUAAUUAGAGAAAUACUGGAAAAUGCUGCUUUUUAUUUGUUCAGUCAUCAAGCACCACACAAGGAUUUUAAGGAUUUACCCUAAACAGAAUGCAGAUCUAAGAGGAUGUCUGUUUUUUGCACUCUCAGAAAAUGAAGAUCCUACAACAGCUUAUUAAUCUUCUGGUUAAUCAGGGAAAAACCAGGAAAUCCAACUGUGCAGAUUUCCACUGCGUGUACAAAAUAGGGAGUGGGGAUGGAGAGAAGAAAGAAAAAUAAUUUUU
Molecule: non-coding RNA, 721 nt
Organism: Meleagris gallopavo (turkey)
Lineage: Eukaryota; Metazoa; Chordata; Aves; Galliformes; Phasianidae
Source: RefSeq, a predicted model, not a curated record